This 277-nucleotide ribosomal RNA is filed under the name uncultured bacterium. Its description in RNAcentral is "partial 16S ribosomal RNA". It matches the Rfam family "Bacterial small subunit ribosomal RNA", at positions 28 to 313 of the family's 1533-position model. The record is from RNAcentral.
GAUGAACGCUGGCGGCGUGCUUAAUACAUGCAAGUCGAACGGAGCAUCGCAAGGUGCUUAGUGGCGACCGGGUGCGUAACACGUAGCUGACCUGCCCCUCAGCGGGGGACAACAGGACGAAAGUUCUGCUAAUACCGCAUAAUUUCGAUGUUUUUAGAAAGCGUCGAAUAAACUUACGGGGCUGAGGGAGGGAGCUGCGGCCCAUCAGGUAGUUGGUGAGGUAGAAGCUCACCAAGCCGACGACGGGUAGGGGGCCUGAGAGGGUGGUCCCCCACAC